Molecule: ribosomal RNA, 355 nt
Filed under: Epialtus bituberculatus
Lineage: Eukaryota; Metazoa; Arthropoda; Malacostraca; Decapoda; Epialtidae
Description: partial small subunit ribosomal RNA
Source: RNAcentral
UACUAUACUAAGAUGUAAUAAGAAUGCUAAAAGAUUAUAAGAUAAAUUCUUUAAAUUUAAAGAAUUUGGCGGUAAUUUAGUCUUUCCAGAGGAACCUGUUUUUGAAUCGAUAAGCCACGAAUAAUCUUACUUACCUUUACAGUUUGUAUACCGUCAUUAUCAGAUAGUAUUUAAAGACUAACUAUUAAAUAUUAAAGAAUAAUUAAAAUUAGAUCAAGGUGCAGCCAAUGGGUAAGUUAAAAUGGGUUACAAUUAAUUAGAUAUAACAACGGAAUAUAACUUGAAACAGUUAUAAGAAGGAGGAUUUGGUUGUAAAAGAUAUUAUCAAGGUAUACAGAUAUAAGCUCUAAAUUAU